ACACCGAUGGCGAAGGCAGGUCUCUGGGCUGUAACUGACGCUGAGGAGCGAAAGCAUGGGGAGCGAACAGGAUUAGAUACCCUGGUAGUCCAUGCCGUAAACGUUGGGCACUAGGUGUGGGGGACAUUCCACGUUUUCCGCGCCGUAGCUAACGCAUUAAGUGCCCCGCCUGGGGAGUACGGCCGCAAGGCUAAAACUCAAAGGAAUUGACGGGGGCCCGCACAAGCGGCGGAGCAUGCGGAUUAAUUCGAUGCAACGCGAAGAACCUUACCAAGGCUUGACAUGGACCGGACCGCCGCAGAAAUGCGGUUUCCCUUCGGGGCCGGUUUACAGGUGGUGCAUGGUUGUCGUCAGCUCGUGUCGUGAGAUGUUGGGUUAAGUCCCGCAACGAGCGCAACCCUCGUUCUAUGUUGCCAGCGCGUUAUGGCGGGGACUCAUAGGAGACUGCCGGGGUCAACUCGGAGGAAGGUGGGGACGACGUCAAAUCAUCAUGCCCCUUAUGUCUUGGGCUUCACGCAUGCUACAAUGGCCGGUACAAAGGGUUGCGAUACUGUGAGGUGGAGCUAAUCCCAAAAAGCCGGUCUCAGUUCGGAUUGAGGUCUGCAACUCGACCUCAUGAAGUCGGAGUCGCUAGUAAUCGCAGAUCAGCAACGCUGCGGUGAAUACGUUCCCGGGCCUUGUACACACCGCCCGUCAAGUCACGAAAGUUGGUAACACCCGAAGCCGGUGG
This 730-nucleotide ribosomal RNA is filed under the name Crystallibacter crystallopoietes. Its description in RNAcentral is "bacterial SSU rRNA". It matches the Rfam family "Bacterial small subunit ribosomal RNA", at positions 706 to 1433 of the family's 1533-position model. The record is from RNAcentral. Lineage: Bacteria; Bacillati; Actinomycetota; Actinomycetes; Micrococcales; Micrococcaceae.